RNAcentral lists this ribosomal RNA (468 nucleotides) under uncultured bacterium. RNAcentral's name for it is "partial 16S ribosomal RNA". It matches the Rfam family "Bacterial small subunit ribosomal RNA", at positions 28 to 507 of the family's 1533-position model. The record is from RNAcentral.
GACGAACGCUGGCGGCGUGCUUAACACAUGCAAGUCGAACGGAAAGGCCCUGCUUUUGUGGGGUGCUCGAGUGGCGAACGGGUGAGUAACACGUGAGUAACCUGCCCUUGACUUUGGGAUAACUUCAGGAAACUGGGGCUAAUACCGGAUAGGAUCUCCUGCUGCAUGGUGGGGGUUGGAAAGUUUCGGCGGUUGUGGAUGGACUCGCGGCUUAUCAGCUUGUUGGUGGGGUAGUGGCUUACCAAGGCUUUGACGGGUAGCCGGCCUGAGAGGGUGACCGGCCAAAUUGGGACUGAGAUACGGCGCAGACUCCAACGGGAGGCAGCAGUGGGGAAUAUUGCACAAUGGGCGGAAGCCUGAUGCAGCAACGCCGCGUGCGGGAUGACGGCCUUCGGGUUGUAAACCGAUUUCGCCUGUGACGAAGCGUGAGUGACGGUAAUGGGUAAAGAAGCACCGGCUAACUACGUG